GGGACUGAGAAGGAAUAUUAGAGCCUUCACCGGAGACUCAGGGAAGAAAAGCUUUUCUCAUCUGAUUGGUGAACUGGAAACGACGAAUCAGAGAUAAAGUACUGCAUCAAAUGGUCGUAUUGAAGUCAGCAAAGCCACCGCCUUUCAAAGCAUAGCUACGAGAAACGGCUAUUUCGAGUCCCUUCUCGCUUCUAUUGUUCCGGAUAAGGAAACAUGGACGCCGUAGGAGCAGGUUUGUCUAAAUCGGCGGCGGGGCUAGCCUGCNNNNNNNNNNGGGCCCACCGCCCCCACCGCCAUGGCAUUGUUGUACGUGGCAAUACUCUAUGCUCCGACUCUAAUCCUCCGCCUUCCCCAGCCUUCAUCCUUGACGGAGUUCAUGGUCCGGCGAUUCGUCUGCGCCGCCAUCUCUUCCGUCGUGUCUAUUGC
RNAcentral lists this long non-coding RNA (426 nucleotides) under Linum usitatissimum (flax). Its description in RNAcentral is "long non-coding RNA (LUSI_LNC007103)". The record is from RNAcentral. Lineage: Eukaryota; Viridiplantae; Streptophyta; Magnoliopsida; Malpighiales; Linaceae.